AGCUUUAUAGUCAAUAUAAUGAUAUUAGAUUGCAAUUCUAAAGUAGUGGUUUUACUAAAGCUU
RNAcentral lists this transfer RNA (63 nucleotides) under Roburocoris exiguus. Its description in RNAcentral is "tRNA-Cys". Lineage: Eukaryota; Metazoa; Arthropoda; Insecta; Hemiptera; Miridae. The record is from RNAcentral.